This 497-nucleotide ribosomal RNA is filed under the name uncultured bacterium. RNAcentral's name for it is "partial 16S ribosomal RNA". It matches the Rfam family "Bacterial small subunit ribosomal RNA", at positions 28 to 507 of the family's 1533-position model. The record is from RNAcentral.
GAUGAACGCUGGCGGCGUGCCUAAAACAUGCAAGUCGAGCGAACAGACGAGGAGCUUGCUCCUCUGACGUUAGCGGCGGACGGGUGAGUAACACGUGGAUAACCUACCUAUAAUACUGGGAUAACUUCGGGAAACCGGAGCUAAUACCGGAUAAUAUAUUGAACCGCAUGGUUCAAUAGUGAAAGACGGUUUUGCUGUCACUUAUAGAUGGAUCCGCGCCGCAUUAGCUAGUUGGUAAGGUAACGGCUUACCAAGGCAACGAUGCGUAGCCGACCUGAGAGGGUGAUCGGCCACACUGGAACUGAGACACGGUCCAGACUCCUACGGGAGGCAGCAGUAGGGAAUCUUCCGCAAUGGGCGAAAGCCUGACGGAGCAACGCCGCGUGAGUGAUGAAGGUCUUCGGAUCGUAAAACUCUGUUAUUAGGGAAGAACAAAUGUGUAAGUAACUAUGCACGUCUUGACGGUACCUAAUCAGAAAGCCACGGCUAACUACGUG